RNAcentral lists this small RNA (29 nucleotides) under Bombyx mori (domestic silkworm). RNAcentral's name for it is "ovarian small RNA-27268". Lineage: Eukaryota; Metazoa; Arthropoda; Insecta; Lepidoptera; Bombycidae. The record is from RNAcentral.
UCCCGAAGCAGUUAUGCCCCGAGAGGACC